UCAGGAUGAACGCUAGCGGCAGGCUUAACACAUGCAAGUCGAGGGGCAUCGCGGGUGGCAACACCCGGCGGCGACCGGCGAACGGGUGAGUAACGCGUGAGCAACAUGUCCUCAGUCGGGGGAUAAGCGAGGGAAACUUCGUCUAAUACCCCAUAACACUUUCAGGCGCAUGCCUUUAAGUUGAAAGCUUUUUUUUUGCGACUUUGGUUUGGCUCGCGUGACAUUAGCUAGUCGGUGGGGUAACGGCCCACCGAGGCUACGAUGUCUAGGGGUUCUGAGAGGAAGGCCCCCCACAUUGGGACUGGGACACGGCCCAAACUCCUACGGGAGGCAGCAGUGAGGAAUAUUGGUCAAUGGACGGAAGUCUGAACCAGCCAUGCCGCGUGAAGGAAGACUGCCCUAUGGGUUGUAAACUUCUUUUGCAGCAGAGCAAUAAGGCGUACGCGUACGCCGAUGAGAGUAUGUUGCGAAUAAGCAUCGGCUAACUCCGUGCCAGCAGCCGCGGUAAUACGGAGGAUGCGAGCGUUAUCCGGAUUUAUUGGGUUUAAA
RNAcentral lists this ribosomal RNA (549 nucleotides) under uncultured bacterium. RNAcentral's name for it is "bacterial SSU rRNA". It matches the Rfam family "Bacterial small subunit ribosomal RNA", at positions 24 to 564 of the family's 1533-position model. The record is from RNAcentral.